UGCCUAACGUUGUAACAACAUAUCUAUGC
RNAcentral lists this non-coding RNA (29 nucleotides) under Mus musculus (house mouse). The record is from RNAcentral. Lineage: Eukaryota; Metazoa; Chordata; Mammalia; Rodentia; Muridae.